UUUGGGGCGAAGUGAAAGUGAAACCCCUUAUUAGAAUCUAAUGUUCGAAACCCUCCGGAGUCGUAAAGACAAAGCCACUUCACUUCAGCUUCACUCAUGAACUGUAGAGUUGUCACCUUCCCGACGGUAUCUCUUCAAUACCUUUCCACAAAUCCUACCCGCGGAACCCUAAUUGCUUUGAAUUACGGUUCUCGAUUUCUUUCCCGGCAUUCAAUUCUUGAAUCACAGGUUCCAUGGAAGAAAGCUUUGCUACCACUAGCUGUGAAGAGCAGGAAGCUAGAAAUCAGGUGUUUAGCCGACGGUGAUGGUGGUACAGGAAAGUGGGUGAAGUGGGUUCCCAAAGGAGCUGUGGCGGAAAGGAUUUUGAGAUUAAUCUCUGGUGCAACUUCGAGUCCCAUUAGCCAGUACGUGUCUUCGCCUACAACAUUUUUGCAUUCGGUGGACCCCAGAAUCAAAUUGGUAUGGCUUCUUACUCUUGUACUGUUGCCGGCGAGGUCACAUAUUCUCAUGCGCUUUGGAUUAGUUAUUUACUUAGCCCUUCUGUCAAUUUGGAUACUCCCGAAGAAUAUGUGGAUGGAUCAAUUGGGAAGAGUUGCCUUGCUCUCUGGGGUUUUAUUUCUAAUGUUGGGAUUGGGCUCAGAUGGUGUACCUCCGCUUGUCCAGUUAAGAACCCCACCACCAGCAAUGAUGGGUUUGCCUAAUAUUCCUACAUCUUUGGGAGGUUAUUCUUAUGUUGUUAUGAAGCUAGGGCCGCUAAAGCUUACAAGGAAAGGCUUAUCGGUGGCAAGCACAUCUGCAUGUUUAACCUUCACUAUCUUCCAAAGUGCAACCCUUUGUUUGACUACCACAACUCCGGAGCAGCUGGCAUCUGCUUUGCAGUGGUUUAUGAAACCUUUGAUUCUCAUUGGUGUUCCAGUUUCUGAAGUUAUCCUUACCCUAUUGCUCUCUUUGAGGUUUAUCAAUCUAGUGUUUGAUGAGGUCCGUAAUGCUGCCUUAGGGAUUGUAGCACGCAGGAUAAAUUGGAAGCAGUUGACAAUAAUGGAAACAGUUGAUGUUUUUUUCAUGUAUGUUCGUCGAAUCUUCAAAAAUAUUUUUAGCAAUGCUGAGCAGAUCUCUCAGGCAAUGAUUGUCAGAGGUUUUCGUGGGAACAGCAAUUCUCACAAAAUUUACUUACCAAACAAACCCAUUGGGAUGGCAGAUUUUGUUUCAUUAUUGUGCCUUCUUGGUUUAGUAGGUGCCACUGUUCUGUCUGAAUCCUCCCUUACCUAAUAACUCUCAACCAUGAAUUGGCAUCUUUUGGUUCCAGUGGAGAUGACAUGGUACAUUCACAAGCUCAGAUUAGUCCACUUGUGGGAUUUCAUGAUGAAAGCACUCGAGUGUCGUUCUCUCUUACGGGGAAGGCAUAAUUGAUGGAUUAAUUACUUUGCUCCACUGCUCCUAUUCUGGCCAUUAUGCUGAAUGCUGAUUAGUAUAAUAAUUUACCCAGAAUACAACAAGGAAUUGACAACUAUUUAUCUUAUUAUGAAAUGGUUGAUACUAGUUUCUGUGAAACUCGCCUCAAGUUGCCUUAUUUAAUUUAUAUUUGCAUUUUUUUUUUUUUUGGUACAUAAUCUAUGAUCCAUUUGAGUGUAAACAAACCUGCAGAAAACACACUUUUUCAACAAAGGAAUUUUUUUACUGGAACCGACAAGCAAAUGUUCUAUUAUUAAGAAAUGUUAAAAUGUUGGAAAAAAAAGUAGAAUAUCAACUUUGCUUGAGCCAUUUUUCUGGAAGCAUCCGAUCUUGGUCAGUAAAUUGACUAUCAACUGUUGAAUUGCAACCA
This is an RNA transcript of Telopea speciosissima, 1822 nucleotides long. It is a transcript of the gene named protein ABCI12, chloroplastic, with no coding region annotated. The transcript has 9 exons. Lineage: Eukaryota; Viridiplantae; Streptophyta; Magnoliopsida; Proteales; Proteaceae. The record is from RefSeq and is a predicted model, not a curated record.